This 1167-nucleotide ribosomal RNA is filed under the name Peptoniphilus sp. CCUG 42643. Its description in RNAcentral is "bacterial SSU rRNA". It matches the Rfam family "Bacterial small subunit ribosomal RNA", at positions 254 to 1440 of the family's 1533-position model. The record is from RNAcentral. Lineage: Bacteria; Bacillati; Bacillota; Tissierellia; Tissierellales; Peptoniphilaceae.
GAGGUAACGGCCCACCAAGGCGACGAUGGGUAGCCGGCCUGAGAGGGUGAACGGCCACAUUGGAACUGAGAAACGGUCCAAACUCCUACGGGAGGCAGCAGUGGGGAAUAUUGCACAAUGGAGGGAACUCUGAUGCAGCGACGCCGCGUGAACGAAGAAGGCUUUCGAGUCGUAAAGUUCUUUUAUAUUGGGAAGAUAAUGACGGUACCAUAANAAAAAGCCCCGGCUAACUACGUGCCAGCAGCCGCGGUAAUACGUAGGGGGCUAACGUUGUCCGGAAUCACUGGGCGUAAAGGGUUCGCAGGCGGAAAUGCAAGUCAGGUGUAAAAGGCAGUAACUUAACUACUGUAAGCAUUUGAAACUGCAUAUCUUGAGAAGAGUAGAGGUAAGUGGAAUUUUUAGUGUACGGUGAAAUGCGUAAUAUUAAAAAGAAUACCGGUGGCGAAGGCGACUUACUGGGCUCAUUCUGACGCUGAGGAACGAAAGCGUGGGUAGCAAACAGGAUUAGAUACCCCUGGUAGUCCAUGCUGUAAACGAUGAGUGNUAGGUAUCGGAAUAAUUCGGUGCCGCAGUUAACACAUUAAGCACUCCGCCUGGGGAGUACGUGCGCAAGCAUGAAACUCAAAGGAAUUGACGGGGACCCGCACAAGCAGCGGAGCAUGUGGUUUAAUUCGAAGCAACGCGAAGAACCUUACCAGGGCUUGACAUACUGAGGACCGGUAUAGAGAUAUACCCUCUUCUUCGGAAGCCUCAAUACAGGUGGUGCAUGGUUGUCGUCAGCUCGUGUCGUGAGAUGUUCAGUUAAGUCUGGCAACGAGCGCAACCCCUAUCUUUAGUUACCAGCAUUUCGGAUGGGGACUUCUAAAGAGACUGCCGAUGAUAAAUCGGAGGAAGGUGGGGAUGACGUCAAAUCAUCAUGCCCUAUAUGCCCUGGGCUACACACGUGCUACAAUGGAAGAUACAAAGGGGAAAAGGCCGAAAUAGUGAUAUUAAGCAAACCUCAAAAAGUCUUUCCCAGUUCGGAUUGUACUCUGCAACUCGAGUACAUGAAGAUGGAGUUGCUAGUAAUCGCAGAUCAGAAUGCUGCGGUGAAUGCGUUCCCGGGUCUUGUACACACCGCCCGUCACACCAUGGAAGCUUGUAAUACCCGAAGCCUGCGAGCAAACC